UAAAGCAAGAAAGGGCGUAUGGGGAAUGCCUAGGCACACUCCGGCGAAGAAGGACGCAGCAAACAGCGAAAUGCGACGGUGAGCGGUAAGCACGUGAAGAGCCGUCGAUAUCCGAAUGGGGGAACCCACACGGAGUCAUAUCCGUGUAUCACAUGUCGAAUACAUAGACAUGAUGAGGCGAGACGCAGGGAACUGAAACAUCUAAGUACCUGCAGGAAGAGAAAAUAAGAAUGAUUUUCUGAGUAGCGGCGAGCGAAAGGGAAAGAGCCCAAACCGAUUUGAGGAUCGGGGUAGUAGGAUCAUCGAGAAAUCUGACAGAGGAUCAUAGAGGAAUCACAUGGGAAGGUGAGCGAGAGAGGGUGAGAGCCCCGUACUCGAAAUGAGAGACUGGAGAGAGAUGACACCUGAGUAGGGCGGGACACGAGAAAUCCUGUCUGAAUCAGCCGGGACCAUCCGGCAAGGCUAAAUACGAGAGAGUGACCGAUAGUGAACCAGUACCGUGAGGGAAAGGUGAAAAGAACCCCGGGAGGGGAGUGAAAGAGAACCUGAAACCAUAUGCCUACAAGAAGUCAGAGCCCGUUAAAGGGUGAUGGCGUGCCUUUUGUAGAAUGAACCGGCGAGUUACUGUAUGGAGCGAGGUUAAGCAGGAUAUGCGGAGCCGAAGCGAAAGCGAGUCUUAAGAGGGCGCGAGUUGCAUGCAGUAGACCCGAAACCGGGUGAUCUAGCCAUGACCAGGUUGAAGUUGGGGUAAAACCCGAUGGAGGACCGAACCGACCCCCGUUGAAACGUUGGCGGAUGAGUUGUGGCUAGGGGUGAAAUUCCAAUCGAACCCGGAGAUAGCUGGUUCUCCCCGAAAUAGCUUUAGGGCUAGCGUCGAGAGAAGAGUUGCGUGAAGGUAGAGCACUGAAUAUGUGAUGGCCCCAUCUCGGGGUACUGAGCAUAAUCAAACUGCGAAUGUCACGCCAACAUGCUCGGCAGUCAGACAGCGGGUGAUAAGGUCCGUUGUCAAGAGGGAAACAGCCCAGACCAUCAGCUAAGGUCCCAAAAUGUAUGCUAAGUGGAAAAGGAUGUGGAGAUGUACAGACAACUAGGAGGUUGGCUCAGAAGCAGCCAUCCUUUAAAGAGUGCGUAACAGCUCACUAGUCGAAUGACUCUGCGCCGAUAAUUUACCGGGGCUAAGCAUACUACCGAAGCUAUGGAUCCCAAGGGAUGGUAGGGGAGCGUUCCAUGAACGGAGAAGUACGACCGAAAGGACGUGUGGAGAUCAUGGAAGAGAGAAUGCCGGUGUGAGUAGCGGAACGUGGGUGAGAAUCCCACGCACCGAAAACCCAAGGUUUCCAGAGGAAGGUUCGUCCGCUCUGGGUAAGUCGGGACCUAAGGCGAGGCCGAAAGGCGUAGUCGAUGGACAACAGGUAGAGAUUCCUGUACCCGUAUAUAUGUGAAGGAAUGACGGAGAGAGGAAGCUGCAGCCAGCGGCUGGAAGAGCUGGUGCAAGCGAGAUAUCGGGAUGGCAGGCAAAUCCACCAUCCGAAACGAGAAGGCGUGAAGCGUACGGAAAGCUACGGCGAGUACGGAAGGCAGUGGAGGAACUUCCAAGAAAAGUUUCUAACGUUAAGUAUAUAUGGCCCGUACCGAAAAUGGACACACAUGGGUGAGGAGAGAAUCCUAAGGUGAGCGAGAGAACUAUAGCUAAGGAACUCUGCAAAAUGACUCCGUAACUUAGGGAGAAGGAGUGCUCAUAGAGAUAUGAGCCGCAGUGAAACGGCCCAAGCGACUGUUUACCAAAAACACAGCUCUCUGCUAAGCCGCAAGGCGAAGUAUAGGGGGUGACGCCUGCCCGGUGCUGGAAGGUUAAGGGGAGGGGUUAACGCAAGUGAAGCCCUGAACUGAAGCCCCAGUAAACGGCGGCCGUAACUAUAACGGUCCUAAGGUAGCGAAAUUCCUUGUCAGGUAAGUUCUGACCCGC
RNAcentral lists this ribosomal RNA (1966 nucleotides) under human gut metagenome. Its description in RNAcentral is "bacterial LSU rRNA". It matches the Rfam family "Bacterial large subunit ribosomal RNA", at positions 1 to 1991 of the family's 2925-position model. The record is from RNAcentral.